UCCCUGGUGGCUCAGAGAGUAAAGAAUCUGCCUGCAAUGCAGGAGACCCUGGUUCAAUUCCUGGGUAGUGAA
Molecule: transfer RNA, 72 nt
Filed under: Ovis aries (sheep)
Lineage: Eukaryota; Metazoa; Chordata; Mammalia; Artiodactyla; Bovidae
Rfam family: tRNA
About the family: Transfer RNA (tRNA) molecules are approximately 80 nucleotides in length. Their secondary structure includes four short double-helical elements and three loops (D, anti-codon, and T loops).
Source: Rfam by way of RNAcentral